UGGGGAAUAUUGGACAAUGGGCGAAAGCCUGAUCCAGCCAUGCCGCGUGUGUGAAGAAGGUCUUCGGAUUGUAAAGCACUUUAAGUUGGGAGGAAGGGCAGUUACCUAAUACGUGAUUGUUUUGACGUUACCGACAGAAUAAGCACCGGCUAACUACGUGCCAGCAGCCGCGGUAAUACAGAGGGUGCAAGCGUUAAUCGGAAUUACUGGGCGUAAAGCGCGCGUAGGUGGUUUGUUAAGUUGGAUGUGAAAGCCCCGGGCUCAACCUGGGAACUGCAUCCAAAACUGGCAAGCUAGAGUACGGUAGAAGGUGGUGGAAUUUCCUGUGUAGCGGUGAAAUGCGUAGAUAUAGGAAGGAACACCAGUGGCGAAGGCGACCACCUGGACUGAUACUGACACUGAGGUGCGAAAGCGUGGGGAGCAAACAGGAUUAGAUACCCUAGUAGUCCCUGAGCGGGCUGGCAAGGCGCAU
This 472-nucleotide ribosomal RNA is filed under the name uncultured bacterium. Its description in RNAcentral is "bacterial SSU rRNA". It matches the Rfam family "Bacterial small subunit ribosomal RNA", at positions 355 to 825 of the family's 1533-position model. The record is from RNAcentral.